This 460-nucleotide ribosomal RNA is filed under the name uncultured bacterium. RNAcentral's name for it is "partial 16S ribosomal RNA". It matches the Rfam family "Bacterial small subunit ribosomal RNA", at positions 338 to 795 of the family's 1533-position model. The record is from RNAcentral.
CCUACGGGUGGCAGCAGUGAGGAAUAUUGGGCAAUGGGCGAGAGCCUGAACCAGCAAAGUCGCGUGAAGGAUGAAGGAUCUAUGGUUGGUAAACUUCUUUUAUAGGGGAAUAAAGUGAGGAACGUGUUCCUUUUUGUAUGUACCAUAUGAAUAAGCAUCGGCUAACUCCGUGCCAGCAGCCGCGGUAAUACGGAGGAUGCGAGCGUUAUCCGGAUUUAUUGGGUUUAAAGGGUGUGUAGGUGGGUAAUUAAGUCAGCGGUGAAAGUUUGUGGCUCAACCAUGAAAUUGCAUUUGAAACUGGUUGUCUUGAGUAUCUUUGAGGUAGGCGGAAUUCGUGGUGUAGCGGUGAAAUGCAUAGAUAUCACGCAGAACUCCGAUUGCGAAGGCAGCUUACUAAACUAUAACUGACACUGAGGCACGAAAGCGUGGGGAUCAAACAGGAUUAGAUACCCGAGUAGUC